Molecule: long non-coding RNA, 1850 nt
Organism: Capsicum annuum
Lineage: Eukaryota; Viridiplantae; Streptophyta; Magnoliopsida; Solanales; Solanaceae
Exons: 3
Source: RefSeq, a predicted model, not a curated record
AAGAGAAUCCACGCGUAUUACUUUUCCCUAAAAGAAUGAUGGGUCACCAUUAUUUUUCCACAAUCAGCUCCCAACCACCGACCUUCUCUCUUUCUCUCCCCCUCACACCUCGUCUGCCGCCACCCAAACUGGAAUGCCAUAGCUGCCGUCUGGCACCCCCCUAUGCAAGAAUCUCCUUUUUUUCGUCAUGACAAGCUCAUUAACCAAAAAGUCAAAAAAUAAUAGACCCCAAAAGGUGUUAGUAUCGAUCUUUGAUGUUGAAUCUACAAUUAAUGGCUUUGAAGGAGAUUGAUAAUUCAAACUUUGAAUCUUUUUCUUCCCGUUUUUAUAUUAAGGUUUCAAUUCGGACUUUUAAGUCCGGAUAGGCAGCUAUAAAUUGUAAUCUCCCCAUUCUAUAGCGGACGGAGGAAAAGGAACGAAUAAUAAAGAGAUAAAAAGAAAAGAGUGACGAAGGGUUGGGGAAGAAAAUAGAGGGACAGAAACGGAGGACUUGAAAGUGAAAAAAUUGAAGACGAAAAAGGAAGAUGAGUGAAAGGGGAGUUUUGGGGGAAGAAGUAACAAUCAAAAAAAAGAAAAAUUUACAAAACUACAAGUUUCUAUUUUGUUGUUCUUUGCCUAAAGUCAAGUUCUUCGAUUUCGGGUUUUGGGUCCCAAAAACUUGAUGUUGGAGCCCUUGUUUGCUGCCCAACACAAGUGACAUACACAUGGCUGAAAAUACUACAACUGAUGAGGCAGUGAUUCUAGCCGAUGAAAGCAUUAAUUCAAAUAUUUCACGUCAAAAACAUAAACAUUCUAUCCAGACGAAGGUGAUGUGGCUGUUGUUUCAUGGAAAUUUGAGCAAGAACAAUGUAGGAGAGCUUUAUGUCGCAUGGUGAUUGUGGAUGAACUCCCUUUCAGGUUUGUUGACAAGGAAGGUUUUAGAAACUUUAUGAAAGUAGUGCAACCUCAUUUUAAGAUUCCUUCUUGUACCACUGUGACACGUGAAUGUUUUAAAAUGUUUGAUAAAGAGAAACAAAAAUUGAAAAGGUCCUUUAGAGAAGCCCAACAAAGAGUCUGUCUUACCACUGAUACUUGGACCUCUUUGCAGAGAAUUAAUUAUAUGUGCAACACUGUACAUUGGAUCGACAGUAAAUGGAUUAUGCACAAGAGGAUAAUUAACUUUUGUCCAAUUACUAGCCAUAGAGGUAAAGACAUGGCUAAUGAGAUUAGUAAGUGUUUACGUGAUUGGGACAUAGAUAAAAUUAUUACCAUCACAGUCGAUAAUUCUAGUUUGAAUGAUGUGACUGUGAAAGAGUUAGGUAAGAUAUUCACUAAAUGGGGAACCAUUUCAUGAAUGGAGAACACCUUCAUGUAAGGUGUAUGGCUCACAUUAUUAAUCUUAUAGUCCAAGAUGGUUUGAAAGUAACUGGAGUGUCCAUUGAAAUGGUUAGAAAAGCAGUGAAAUACAUAAGGCAGUCCCCUGCAAGGUGUAAAAGGUUCCAAGAAUGUUGUGAAGAUCUUGAUAUCAAUAGUAAAAAAUCUUUAUGUUUGGAUGUUUCUAUGAGGUGUAACUCCACAUACUUGAUAUUGAAUAGGGCGAUUGAGUGUGAACAUGGAUUUUUGAGUUAUGUUGAUCGUGAUAUUGGCUUAUCACAAUACCUUCAGUUUGUUGAGGAUGAAGAGAGAACAGUUGCCGAUGCACUUUCGAGUGAUGACUAGGACCAUGUAAAGAAAAUUACCAAUUUUUUUCAAUUUUUUUAUGAUCUAACCAAAUAAGUAUCUGGAUACUCUAUGUCACAUCAAAUUUACACUUUCUUAAAAUUUGUGAGGUUUCUUGUUAUUUGAAGCAGUUGAUAUCGAGUGAUGAUGAU